UACGGAGGAUCCGAGCGUUAUCCGGAUUUAUUGGGUUUAAAGGGUGCGCAGGCGGGAGAUUAAGUCGGCGGUGAAAUUUUGCAGCUCAACUGUAAAAGUGCCAUCGAUACUGGUUUUCUUGAGUGUGGAUGAAGUAGGCGGAAUUUGUGGUGUAGCGGUGAAAUGCAUAGAUAUCACAAGGAACACCGAUUGCGCAGGCAGCUUACUAAACCAUAACUGACGCUCAGGCACGAAGGCGUGGGGAGCAAACAGGAUUAGAUACCCUGGUAGUCCACGCAGUAAACGAUGAUUACUAGCUGUUUGCGAUACAAUGUAAGCGGCUGAGCGAAAGCGUUAAGUAAUCCACCUGGGGAGUACGUUCGCAAGAAUGAA
Molecule: ribosomal RNA, 372 nt
Filed under: uncultured bacterium
Lineage: Bacteria
Description: bacterial SSU rRNA
Rfam family: Bacterial small subunit ribosomal RNA
Source: RNAcentral